CCGCACGGGUGAGUAACGCGUAUCCAACCUGCCUUACACUCUUGACAGCCUUCUGAAGGGAGAUUAAUACAAGAUGGCAUCAUGAGUCCGCAUGUUCACAUGAUUAAAGGUGUUCCGGUAGACGAUGGGGAUGCGUUCCAUUAGAUAGUAGGCGGGGUAACGGCCCACCUAGUCUUCGAUGGAUAGGGGUUCUGAGAGGAAGGUCCCCCACAUUGGAACUGAGACACGGUCCAA
This 234-nucleotide ribosomal RNA is filed under the name uncultured bacterium. Its description in RNAcentral is "partial 16S ribosomal RNA". It matches the Rfam family "Bacterial small subunit ribosomal RNA", at positions 98 to 334 of the family's 1533-position model. The record is from RNAcentral.